Molecule: ribosomal RNA, 272 nt
Filed under: uncultured bacterium
Lineage: Bacteria
Description: partial 16S ribosomal RNA
Rfam family: Bacterial small subunit ribosomal RNA
Source: RNAcentral
UACGGAGGGUACAAGCGUUAAUCGGAAUUACUGGGCGUAAAGCGCGCGUAGGCGGUCUUGUAAGUCGGAUGUGAAAUCCCCGGGCUCAACCUGGGAACUGCAUUCGAUACUGCUCGACUAGAGUAUGGAAGAGGGAAGGGGAAUUCCGGGUGUAGCGGUGAAAUGCGUAGAGAUUUGGAGGAAUACCAGUGGCGAAGGCGGCCCCCUGGCACAACACUGACGCUCAGGUGCGAAAGCGUGGGGAGCAAACAGGAGUUAGAUACCCUGGUAGU